AUAGUUUGCCAACAUUGGUUGUUAUUUUCAUUCAUUUCCUAGAGGGACUGUUUAUUACAAAAAACAAGGAGCACCAUGUAAAGCUGAACUGUGUACUUACCAAUAUUUUUGUAGUAAAUAGGUACAAAGACAUUGAUUGCCCUCUCAAUUCCCAGGAGCACCAAACAGAAAAGGACAAGCAGCUGCAGCCAGAUGCUACCCCGAGGCCACAUGUACGGUAAAAGCAGCCGCAACUUCUUCCUGAAGUCCUGCCAGGUGGACUGGUUCUGGCCCGGUCUGCCCAGGAGGCUCUGACGUGGAGACAACGAGCCUUUUAGAAUAAGCAGGAGGACAGAGGGACAUUUUGCACGUCAGCACCUGUGCGCUCUGCUCUACGUCUCGCUCGUCUUCAUUUAUCAGCAGUAUGUAAGGUCUCCGUGGCAACCCUGGGGCUCUGAUGCCAACAAAGAAUAGCAGUCCCGUGCCCACAUAGCGAAUCAACCACAAGGCAAACUGGACCUGGGGGGUUCAUUGACACUUAAAACAACAACAACAACAUCAUCAUCAUCAUCAUCAUGGCGGUAAAAGUGCAGCGUGUGACACAGCAAGCGGGCAAAAGGAGUGAUCACUAAAGAUAACGCCGUCAGAGUGAUGCAUGCAACUUCAAGUGCUUGGAGUGGGAGGGGCAAGAUGUGGCCUCCUGGAAAGUCAGACUCACUCAAUGACUCGGCAAAAAAGGAGUGCAGCCUGCACCUCUCAUCUUCUCAUGUUGAGAAACCGGACUGACAACAUGCACUUGAGUGGAACGACAACUACGCAGGCACGCCUUUAAUGACAAACCUUUGACACUGUUAAGAAAGUCGCCACUAUCAAACAUGAUAACAAACAUUGUGCAAAUACUUAAUGACAGCGAGCAAUAUUUGGAAGAGUUAACAACACAAUUGUGGGGAAAGCUGAAAUAUGGACAUGCAUUGUAAAAAGCAACCCUGGAACUAUAGAAAUAAAAAAAGUACACUUGAUGCAGUCCAGUUCUACCAGUAUUCUCUAGUACUGCAGACUACAACCACAAGAAUGUGUGUGCCUUUUGUGUAGUUUUUGUAAUUCAACCUCUCAAGGUUAUCUUAAAUGUAAUUAUUUCCUCAACUCUAGAUCUGAUAGUAGACAUACUGCACAACUCAAAAUGUGAAUUGUCCCACUUCAGGCAAUAUUUUUUGUGUACAAGGAUCCUAUGGCAAAGUUGACUCAUUUGAGUAUCAAGACCAAAGUAACAGUUUUAGCAUAAAAUUAGCUAAAACGUGAAAUUUAGCCAGAUAGUAUUCAUGCUAAUAGCAUAUUUGCACUAAGCACAUUACCGCGAUUGAACAAAAAUAACACAAAAAAAAACUCCAUCAAAAUAUUAAUUAGCUACCAGGACUGUGUUGGGAUUUUAGUCGUAGUUAAAACCAGCAAAUCUAAGAAACUUAUUAUUGCAACGUUUUUAACAUGACUUGAGUGAAAGCCUAGAGACACAUGUUAAUGGAAUUUCAUUUCUCCUGGACGUAAUUUGCACUGGUUUUGUAAAAUGGCCAAAAAUAUUGUUGAAUUAACACGGCAACAGUGGCGUUCUAAAAGCUACAUUUUUGAUACAGCUUUAGAUCUCGACUACUGGUAAUAUUGUGGUAAGUGCAUCAAUAUAUAUUCUCUUACCUGUUGCUGAUUGUCCUGCAAGUCCCACCACCAAUGUGGACUAUACCAGGAGAUAAAUGCCAGGUUCUCUGCUGCAAACGCCACUGCCCAGAACAACAGCAGCGCUGUGCUGUGUCCCCGCGUCCGGUCCAUCAAAAGAACUCGUCGCCUCUCUAUUCUGAGCAAGGCAACGGCCCAAGCCCAAGCCAGGGCACAGAAGCAGCCGUACAGAACCACAUAGCCAGGCAACUGUCCUCCUUCGGUGGCUCGCCACACCAUCCCACCCACAAACUGAACCAGGAGAAGGAUGGAGACCACCUGCUGGAGUCCGUAGAGGCGAGAGCGAGGAAUGAACUUGGGCUCCAUCGCUGUGCCAUA
Molecule: long non-coding RNA, 2022 nt
Organism: Nerophis ophidion (straightnose pipefish)
Lineage: Eukaryota; Metazoa; Chordata; Actinopteri; Syngnathiformes; Syngnathidae
Exons: 2
Source: RefSeq, a predicted model, not a curated record